This 1213-nucleotide ribosomal RNA is filed under the name Latilactobacillus sakei. RNAcentral's name for it is "bacterial SSU rRNA". It matches the Rfam family "Bacterial small subunit ribosomal RNA", at positions 257 to 1461 of the family's 1533-position model. Lineage: Bacteria; Bacillati; Bacillota; Bacilli; Lactobacillales; Lactobacillaceae. The record is from RNAcentral.
GUAAAGGCUCACCAAGACCGUGAUGCAUAGCCGACCUGAGAGGGUAAUCGGCCACACUGGGACUGAGACACGGCCCAGACUCCUACGGGAGGCAGCAGUAGGGAAUCUUCCACAAUGGACGAAAGUCUGAUGGAGCAACGCCGCGUGAGUGAAGAAGGUUUUCGGAUCGUAAAACUCUGUUGUUGGAGAAGAAUGUAUCUGAUAGUAACUGAUCAGGUAGUGACGGUAUCCAACCAGAAAGCCACGGCUAACUACGUGCCAGCAGCCGCGGUAAUACGUAGGUGGCAAGCGUUGUCCGGAUUUAUUGGGCGUAAAGCGAGCGCAGGCGGUUUCUUAAGUCUGAUGUGAAAGCCUUCGGCUCAACCGAAGAAGUGCAUCGGAAACUGGGAAACUUGAGUGCAGAAGAGGACAGUGGAACUCCAUGUGUAGCGGUGAAAUGCGUAGAUAUAUGGAAGAACACCAGUGGCGAAGGCGGCUGUCUGGUCUGUAACUGACGCUGAGGCUCGAAAGCAUGGGUAGCAAACAGGAUUAGAUACCCUGGUAGUCCAUGCCGUAAACGAUGAGUGCUAGGUGUUGGAGGGUUUCCGCCCUUCAGUGCCGCAGCUAACGCAUUAAGCACUCCGCCUGGGGAGUACGACCGCAAGGUUGAAACUCAAAGGAAUUGACGGGGGCCCGCACAAGCGGUGGAGCAUGUGGUUUAAUUCGAAGCAACGCGAAGAACCUUACCAGGUCUUGACAUCCUUUGACCACUCUAGAGAUAGAGCUUUCCCUUCGGGGACAAAGUGACAGGUGGUGCAUGGUUGUCGUCAGCUCGUGUCGUGAGAUGUUGGGUUAAGUCCCGCAACGAGCGCAACCCUUAUUACUAGUUGCCAGCAUUUAGUUGGGCACUCUAGUGAGACUGCCGGUGACAAACCGGAGGAAGGUGGGGACGACGUCAAAUCAUCAUGCCCCUUAUGACCUGGGCUACACACGUGCUACAAUGGAUGGUACAACGAGUUGCGAGACCGCGAGGUUUAGCUAAUCUCUUAAAACCAUUCUCAGUUCGGAUUGUAGGCUGCAACUCGCCUACAUGAAGCCGGAAUCGCUAGUAAUCGCGGAUCAGCAUGCCGCGGUGAAUACGUUCCCGGGCCUUGUACACACCGCCCGUCACACCAUGAGAGUUUGUAACACCCAAAGCCGGUGAGGUAACCCUUCGGGGAGCCAGCCGUCUAAG